Parambassis ranga (Indian glassy fish) is the source of this 1781-nucleotide long non-coding RNA. The record is from Ensembl. NCBI's taxonomy places the organism in Eukaryota, Metazoa, Chordata, Actinopteri, Ambassidae.
GCGAUAGCGUCACCAUCACCUGACCGUCCAGAGACAGUUAUCGAUCAACACAGACAGGAGUGCAACUGUGCAAUGUAAAAAAGGAAACAACACCAAGGAAACAAAGUACCCUCAAAGUUUGCCAUCUGAGAUGGAUACUCGUCUCAGCAAAAGGGCACAUGGGGUGAUGAAGGCUGAGGAAGCUAAGGAAGUAGAGGAGGAGAUGAACAAGGAACAGACAGAAGAUGAGACAGAGGUCCCUAUUCGAAGAUAUAAGAAAAAGAAGCCAGUCAAAUAUUCCCCGAAAAAACAGAGUGAGUCUUGUUAUUCUUUUAAUAUAUAUUUUUUUACUACAUUCACCUACAAGUCUUGAAAUUAAGUUUUGGCUGUAACUUUUAAGUCUGUCACUUGAACUAGCUACGUCUGCAGCAGAUUUCUAAUCUGUGUUCACUUUACUUAUUUAUAGUCAAUUGGUCAUUUAUGGUCAUUUGGUCACUGACUAAAGUAAUAAAUAUUUAAUAGAAUGAUCGCUGCCCCUGUUGCAGUGUCUCCAACAGGGGCAUUGGAGUUGGCCAAACUGAAAGAACAAAAUAAGAUGGAUCGGCAGAAGAUUGAACACCUUGAGGACCGCAUUAAGUACCUGGAGGAGGCCAACAGGGAUCUAAAAAAUGACAAGGACUUCUUACUUUCCCAAAUUAAGGGAGCCACCAACACACCUGCAUCUACUGGGAAAGGCUCUGGAAAGACUGCUCUGGAACCUGCUUCAUCUUCAACCUCGACAUCCCCCUGUCCUUCCUCAGACUCCAGCUUCUCAUCAUCCUCAGAAGAAGAGGAAAAGAAGAAAAAGAAAAAGAAGACCAAGAAGUCCAAAAAACACCCUGAUUCUCAUAGCCGGUUCAGGCAUUGAUCAUCUUUUUGAUCAAAUGCUUUUCAACUGUAAAGUUGACGAUUACUUAACUGCCCUCAUAUUUGUUAUAAAAGCAAUUACUCAGCAAUUACAGAGAGAUGUACAGCUUUUUAAUUCUCCGCAGGUUAUUAUGUGCUCUAAUCUGGUUUUGUUAGAUAUUUAACCUGUGAAACAAAUAAGAAAAAAUCUACUUACUGUACCAUUAGGUUCACAGUGCAAGGUGGUUAUGUUUUGUACAGCUUCAGAGGCAGGUAAGCGAGGACAUUACUUGUUGGGCAUCCUUCUUCCAUGCUGGUCAUGGCAACUAUUGCUAGCUACAGAGGCAGGUACGAAAGGAGCUAAAUCUAAUAGAACAAGCCUAGAAGGAGGAUGCACAUUAAACCAGCAGUAGGAUAAGUGGGAUUAUUUCUCAUUUGAUAGUAUUACAGUACCUUUAGGGUGCCCAAUCAGCAAUGCCAAUGCAUGUCUGAAUUAAGAUGCCUUUUUUGUUUGUUUUUGUGACCAGUGACCACAACGGAUGGAGUUAUCCGCCGCUACAAGAAUGUCCUGUCCAUAUUCAAUUAGCAUGGAUCCAUGAAAAAGGCCUUCGCCAAAAUUAACGUCGACCGCAACACAGCUGUGAUUGCUGAACUAGCGAUCACAUUUCCAGACACCUUCAAGGACCUGCUUCCAUGAGAUGAAGCUAAUGAGAAGAUGUCUGCAUUUGCAGAGCGUUGCAGGGGAGCUAUAACACAGGAGAUGGCUGAAUUUAUCACAGCAAAGAAAAAAAGUGGAAAACUCCUCCCAAUAGUGUAUAAAUACACUUAAGAGUGUUCAUUUAUGUUGAUGUUAAAUGACACUGUUUAUGUAACAACAGUUCCUUUUGUUCAAAUGUUUGUGUUCAAAUACAGCAAGG